UACGUAGGGGGCUAGCGUUGUCCGGAAUCAUUGGGCGUAAAGGGCGCGUAGGCGGUGCGGUAAGUCUGUAGUGAAAUCUCUGGGCUCAACUCAGAGUCUGCUAUAGAAACUGCCGUGCUUGAGUGUGGGAGAGGUGAGUGGAAUUCCCGGGUGUAGCGGUGAAAUGCGUAGAUAUCGGGAGGAACACCUGUGGCGAAAGCGGCUCACUGGACCACAACUGACGCUGAGGCGCGAAAGCUAGGGGAGCAAACAGG
This 254-nucleotide ribosomal RNA is filed under the name uncultured bacterium. Its description in RNAcentral is "partial 16S ribosomal RNA". It matches the Rfam family "Bacterial small subunit ribosomal RNA", at positions 524 to 776 of the family's 1533-position model. The record is from RNAcentral.